UACGCUCAGUCCGGGGAGGGGACCCCGUAU
This 30-nucleotide small RNA is filed under the name Bombyx mori (domestic silkworm). Its description in RNAcentral is "ovarian small RNA-21105". The record is from RNAcentral. Lineage: Eukaryota; Metazoa; Arthropoda; Insecta; Lepidoptera; Bombycidae.